AACUUUAAUCUAUGUUGUUUACUUAUCAUUUUCCUUCUAUUUUAAAAUACAAUGCAGCAUGCUUCAUUCUUCAAGCAACAGAAAUUGAGUGUAGAAAAAUUUCUACUAUCUCUGUCAACUAAAAGUGUUUCUCUGUUGAUGGUGUGUUGUCUGACUUCCCAACUACUGCAUCUGCAGCCAUAAGGUGUUCUUAUUGUAGGCGAGAGGGGUACAGGUAAGACAUGUCUAGCAUUGGCUAUAGUUGCUGAGGCUAAGGUGUUCAUUGUUGAAAUUAAGGCCCAACAAUUGGAGGCUAGGUUGUGGGUUGGACAAAGUGCCUCCAAUGUUCGUGAAUUGUUUCAGACAACUAGAGAUCUGCAUUCUUGGAACUGGACUAGAAUGGCUGGCCAAUCACUAACUGGCCCCACUUUGUGGAGGAUUUUGACUUGUUUGUUGGUGUACGUGGUACAUAUAUUCAUACCAAAAAUCAAGGCCAUGAAACUUUCAUCAAUCAACUACUUGUGGAACUUGAUGGAUUUGAGAAACAAGAUGGGGUUGUUUUGAUGGCUACUAUUAGAAAUCUCAAGCAAAUUGAUGAGGCCUUGCAGAGGCCAGGUCGCAUGGAUAGAAUAUUUCAUCUUCAAAGACCGACACAAGCUGAGAGAGAAAAAAUAUUAUGUACUUGUCAACAAAAGAAACAAUGGAUGAUCAGUUUAUUGAUUAUGUUGAUUGGAAAAAGGUUUAUCCUACUUUCUCUUUUUUAAAUAGAACACUUUUUUCCCCUAGAAAACAGUGAAAGUUCAACUAGGGGGAUGAUUCCUAUCUAGGAAAGUUGCAUUUGACUUUUAUCGGUAAUUACUUGUUUGUUUUGUUUAA
Molecule: long non-coding RNA, 855 nt
Organism: Glycine soja
Lineage: Eukaryota; Viridiplantae; Streptophyta; Magnoliopsida; Fabales; Fabaceae
Exons: 4
Source: RefSeq, a predicted model, not a curated record